RNAcentral lists this long non-coding RNA (919 nucleotides) under Felis catus (domestic cat). RNAcentral's name for it is "lncRNA (ENSFCAG00000048183.1)". Lineage: Eukaryota; Metazoa; Chordata; Mammalia; Carnivora; Felidae. The record is from RNAcentral.
CUGUGUUGCCAGAGGCUUACUUGAGGGUGGAAGUCAGCCAGGACCCCAUUCUGCUAGAAGUGUCCUUAGCUAAGUGGAACUGAUGAUUUCAGCUAAGGGAACACCAAGAUACUGUUCUGAACCCCGGGGGGAGGAGUGUUUCCAGAAGGAAGGGUUCCUGGGGGCUCGGUUCUGAUCCCAGCUAAGAAUGGGGACCCAGUCCCCACCUGAGGAAGGGGGAAUUUUCCCAUCCUAUUUCUUAACCUCACCUACCAAAAGCCAGGUUUUCUGCCUCCAUACCCAUUCCCCUGUCUGGCUUGGCCCCUCUACUCCCAGGGGACACUUCCUUACUCCAGAGAGCCACAGGGAGAGCAGAACUCUGGUUCCCAUAGCAACAUGGCCAGGUUCACAAGGCAACAAGGUCUUGCCUUUGCAGUCAGCUCCAUUAUAACUGUCAGUGGCCAAGGCAAUUUUAGGUCAGCCUACGAGGUUAAUUUGCAGCUUUCUCAACACAGAAGCCCCCAGCAUGGAAGAAAAGCUGAAGCCUAUGAUACGGCAGGCGUGAUGUUGAGGAGGAAAGCCUGGUGCAGAUCCUCACCGUAUUCAGGCAACAGGAAAAAGCCCACCCAUCCUGCCAUGUGGGGCUGUGGGGCUCAACCUUGAUGAGGAAUGAAUCGACAAAGAAGUAUCAUGAGAAAAGGCCAGAAGGUGAGGCGAGAGCAUAAAGAUUUUAAUCCUCUUGCCACCAUUUUCAGGGAUUCAUUUAUCCACUAAAUAUGAAGUUGCUGCUGUGUGCUUGGCAUUGUCCCAGGUGUGAGGGUGAGUGAAGCAGAGAGACAUGAGCCCUGCCCUCACAGAGUUUAUCAUCUACUGGGAGAAAAAGGCAAAUAGUGGCUUAGCUAUAAAUUGCCAUAUAAUAAAUUACCCAUGACUUGCUUCA